UUUUUAAGUUACCUUUGUAAACGAUUAGCUCAUUCCUAAUUCUAAUUCCAGUUUCUGUAAUCAUAUUGCAGGGACUGUAAAACUAUCCAUGUCAUGAAGAAUUUUUUAUGCUUGAGUGUGUACUAUCUUGUUAUUGAUUGAGGGAGCAAUUGGUGGGAGCAAAUGGAAAGAUCUACCUGGUAAAGCCUUUGUAGACAAAUCAUCCCUUCACAAAUAUUACAAUUCAGAUCCUUUGGAGUAGUUAGAAGUGAUGAAGCCUUCAAACACAGUGUAUUCAUAGCUACAGAGUGCCCUGUUUUCACAUAGGUACAAAUUAUUCCACAAUCCCACUUUCUCAAAUGUUCGUUUUUUUUCUUACAACAAUAAUUCACAUAUAUGAGUUUCAACUGAAGUUAACUUGAUUUAUAUUUCAUCUCUAUGAAUAAGCAAAAACCUGAAUUAACAAAUGUGGGAACAAUUAGCCAAUCUCAUUGGUUUGGUUGCUGAGGAUUGUCUUCUUUAGAGUUUUGACAUUAUGCUUGCUCCUGAAUUCUCCAUGGUGACACCAUCAAUAUCUAUUCCUUGACUUUGCUCCAUGUGAAAGCUUUCAACUCAUUGGAGCAACUACUAAAGGAUUGUACUUGUGGGUUCUUCAGCUCAAGUCCUUGCCAAAACAGGGGUUGCCCUCCUCCCUUUCUCGUCUUUAUAUUCCAGGAUGUCCUCUGCUGAAGAAGCUAUGCCAAAGGUAUAAAAGGAAAAAAUUGCCCAACAUUUCUCACAUCCCCUGCAUUGUGAUACUUGAUGAAAUUGAUUCCUCAAUUGAAGAGGUCAUCUGGACAUAAGGCCCUUGCAUCCAAGCUUUUGCCUUUCUCUGCAAUUAUUGAUUCAGUAAGUAUUUUAUGUUUUUAUUUACUUUUUGUGCAAUCCAUGCACACCAAGUUUGUGAAUCAUUCUCUUUUACCAAUCAAUUCCAUCUCACCAUAGACCUUCCAUGGCUGCUCCAGAAUUGAAACCAGUAUUUUAAACUCUAAUACAAAAACAAAGCAAAGUACUGCUGCUUGAAAAUUAGUUUUAUUUUUUAAUUAAAUAAAUAUUAAAUGUGUGUAGUAGUUUUAAAUUUCUUUCUUUUUUUUAAAAUAUCUUUAGUAGUUAUAUAGCAAAACAGAAAAAGAAAUUUUCAAGGAUUUUUGAAUAAUUUUUUUGUGAUUUUCUAUGAUUUAUUUUAUGUUUACAAAAGAGGCAUGUUUUAUUGAUAAAUUUUAAAAUAAAAGAUCAAAAUACCCUACCAAAAUACAUUUUUGAAAUUGUUUUCAAAUUAAAAUAUUAUAACUGUAUGAUAGAAACACCUACCAUGGCAUCAUAUUUCAUAUGGCUUUGAAAUUAUCUACAGGUAGAAAUUGGAUGAGUAGGACUUUUCUACCUGUGUUUGUGACUGUGACUGUGGAUGCUUAUUUCUAGGUUAUUUUCAACAUGUGACUGUGUUUGUGGAUGCUUAUUUCUAGGUUAUUGUGGUGCUUGAAUGGAGACUGGUGGUUGGAAGUUGAUGUCAAAUCACCAAGACAUGAAAAUAUAUGGAUGCUAUACUCAUUGUAUAGACUUUUCACUUCUCCUCUGUCUUGCAUGGCACUUGGGUAUGCUCUUUUGCAUAGGGAGAGCUUAUGCAUGGUAGAAAAGCUCUCUUCUUGUUAGUGGGUCCAUUAACUGACUUAUAACUAUGAGAAAUAAAAAUAUAAGAUAAAUAACGCAUCAUAUCUCAUAUCGUUCUGAAAUUACCUGCAGGUGAAAGUUAGGCAGAUUUUUGUUGCCUUCCUAAGUUUUGUUGUUGCUAUAAAACCAUGUGUAAGUAGCUUCUACUUUUGGUAACUUAACAUGAGACUAGCUUUAAUGGAUGGAUUGAAAAUUAUUCUGGGUUUCAACUUUAUUACUGCACUCAUAAAAAUCUAGAUAGUUUGUGAAUUGCAAGUUGAUGUUUGUCUUAAUAGCUUAAUUUUCAGAUAUUAAAAAAAAAUCCACUGUAUUUCCCAAAAAUAUCUUGACAGAGCUAGAAGUAGGAGAAGCUAGAGAGAUAGGGGAAGAACCAAAGUCCAGAAUUAUGGGCAUGAAGGAGGAGAUGAAGCCCUUGUUGGUUUCAUAUAAAAUAACAAUGGUAAUACUAGAAAUACAAAGUUUUAUUGGAAUUAUAAAAGAACUUAGGGAAAAAGAUACAUCUUUUAGAUUUGGAAAAGCAAUUCCCUACUCUCCAACUUUCAAACUUUUACUGGUUCACUUCAAAAUCAAGCAUACGAUUUUGUUCACAACCAAGUUAAUUGCAUUUCAAUAUUGUAGGCUUCUGGCUUAAAUACAAAUCUCUUGGCUGUCAAAUAAGCUUUGCUGCUUUAAUUGAUCUAUGUCUCUGGAGUUUCAUGCCGACUUUGUGUGGCAGGGGACCAAAACAUUCUUCCUGCCCUUUGAAGAAGCCCAAACAGAGUUACCCUGAUCAGGUAGGGAAAUUGGACUUUUGAAUUGGGUUGCCAACUCUGUUAUGCAACAUAAAAUCCUCUCCUUUUCAAAUCUGCUAUACCUUCUUAGGUUAUUAAGAUGCUUUUUGUGUGAUCCAUAUUUACAGGAUGUGAAUGAGUGAAGACUUUGGUCCUGAAAAGUGUUGCAAAUGUGGUGAAGAAUCACUAGCACUCUAAUUUGGUGGGAUAUAGAUUUCUAAGCGACCUUUGUAAACAAUUAGCUCCUUCCUAAUUCUAAUUAUUCUGUUUCUGUAAUCUUUUGUCAGGGACUAUAAAACCGUUCAUGUCAUGAAGAAUUUUCUAUGCCUGAGUGCAUACUAUCUUGUUAUUGAUAUAGGAGGUUCUCCACCAAAAGACUCCAAAUGGAAAGAUCUACCUGGUAAAGCCUUUGUAGAGAACUUGGUGGCGAUCAGAAAAGCUUCCAGUACUACUAUAGUUGUUCUGUUUUGUUGGGGUUUUGUCAGACCAUUGUAAGAGAACAAAAACUUUCUCCAAGCCCUUUCAGAAACUUAUACCAAACCUGAAAAGUCCCAAUGGCACAGUAAGGUAGGGAAAUGGGAUUGCACCUGUGACCUGUUUCAUACUCAUACUAGCUCUUACUAAAACCAUUUUCUUUUUCCUCUUCUACAUUCUUAGAUCUUUGAAUCCUUGAUACGUACAUGGAUGCGUAAGUGGAGAUCUGGAGGUCUCAAAGGUGAUGCAAACACGGUGCAGAAUCACUGGUGGAGAUGUGGUGGGAUCAGAACUUGCAAUGCUCCCCCUGAAUGUGAAGAGUAAGGAAUGGCAGCAACGCCCUCUCAUUGGUUCCCAAGUUCAUGUAUCAAAUCAAGUGGAUGAUCUCACCACCACCCCGUAAGACUUCAUGUUUCACCCAGAACUGUUGGCAUGUCCAGUUCUUCGGUCUCUAAACUGUAAGCAUAUGAAAGAUGUUUCCCAAUAUCUGUUGUGCUCAAAAGGCAUCUUUAGCAAGACCUACAAUUUUGCUGAAUAGAAAAUUAGCUUACUUGAUGUCAGGUCAAGUAAACAUUAUCUUAGUGAACUUAAUGAAUUUUUUUUUUUUUAGUUAUGAUUCUUCAAUUUCAAGGAAUCUGAAAGUCUUUCGGCUCUUCGAGAUGAGGCUACCACCCAUGCUUGAAACCCUUGAGAUCCAAGGCUGUCCCAUUCUUGAGUCCCUGCCAGAGGGAAUGAUGCAAAAUAAUACUACUCUCCAAAGCUUGUCUAUCAUGCAUUGUGAUUCUCUAAGGUCCCUCCCCGGUAUCAAUUCAUUGAAAACACUUUUAAUUGAAUGGUGUAAGAAAUUGGAGUUAUCUUUGGCUGAGGAUAUGACACACAACCACUGUGCUUCCCUUACAACUUUAUAUAUAGGAAAUAGUUGCGAUUCUCUCACUUCCUUUCCAUUAGCCUUCUUCACAAAGUUUGAGACACUUGAUAUUUGGGGUUGUACAAACCUGGAGUCCCUUUACAUUCCAGAUGGAUUCCACCAUGUGGAUCUCACAUCUCUCCAGAGCUUGUAUAUCUAUUAUUGUGCUAAUCUGGUAUCUUUUCCACAAGGAGGAUUACCCACUCCCAACCCCAAAUCACUUCUAAUCAGCUCGUCCAAGAAGUUCAGGUUACUGCCCCAAGGGAUGCACACCCUCCUUACAUCCCUUCAACAUUUGCAUAUAUCUAAUUGUCCAGAAAUUGAUUCGUUUCCCCAAGGGGGUUUACCCUCUAAUCUAUCUUCCCUUCACAUCUGGAAUUGCAACAAAACUUGUGGCCUGCCGGAUGGAGUGGGGCUUGCAAACACUUCCCUUUCAUAGAAGCUUGUGGAUUGGAGGACAUAAAGAAGAAAGAUUGGAGUCAUUUCCUGAGGAGCAAUUUCUGCCCUCCACUCUCACCUCUCUUACAAUUGGGGCUUUUCCAAAUCUUAAAUCCUUGGACAAUAAGGGGCUUCAGUAUCUCAUCUCUCUUGAAACUCUGUAUAUUUUGAAUUGUGAGAAGCUCAAGUCCUUCCCAAAACAUGGGCUGCCCUCCUCCCUUUCUCGUCUUAAUAUUAGUAAGCGUCUGCUGCUAAAGAAGAGGUGCCAAAGGGAUAAAGGGAAAGAAUGGCCCAAGAUUUGUCACAUCCCCUGCAUAGUGAUUGAAGAAGAGUUCAUUUUGUCAUGAGGGCCUUGCAGCAUCCAAGCUCUUGCUUUCUCUGCAAUUAUUGAUUCAGGUACCUACUUUCUGCUUUUAUUUAUUUUUUGUACAAUAGAUGCUCACAAGUUUGCAUUUCAUUCUCAUUUAUCAAUCAAUUCCAUCUCACUUACUGUAUGGCUUACAUUUCUGCUUUAGAAUUGAAACCAAUUUUUUAAACUCUAAUAGCAAACAAAGCAAAUUGCUUGAAUAUCAAUUUAAAUUUUUAAUUACGUUUUUAUUUUUAUAAAUAUUAAAGGUGUGUAGUAUUUUCGAAUUUGUUUCUUAUUUAAAAAAAAAAACAUUUUUAGCAAUUAUGUAACUAAAAGGAAAAAGUAUUUUUAAGUCUGUGCUAUGUGGUUGUCAUUAGACCUAGGUUCCUCUUCAUGUUAUGCAGCUUCAUCAAUGGCAUCACUCAAGACUUAGGAAGAGGUACUAUUUUGUUGGCCUUUGGAAUAAAAUAUGUCUUUUACUACCAUGAAGAUUCUGUUUUACUGGAGUACCUAUCAGUAUGCAUGCUGCAGUGGCAUUGCAACACCUUUCAGAAGUUAACAUGAAAUUAGCCAGGUUAUGAACUUUGGAAAUUAGGCAGCGUCUACCCUUGAUACACAAAAGCACUUUUCAGCUGAAUCUGUUUUUGAAGAUGAAAUUUAAUUCCAUGGUGCAAUUUAGGGCCUGUUUGUUUAGUGUUUUCAAGAACUGUUUUCUGUUCUUGAAAACAAAAAACACCAAAAACUCGUUUGGUUGACAGGGUCGUUUUUGUUUUUGUUGUUUCCCGUGUUCUCAAAAUGGCACUGUUUAGAGAACAACAAAAUGUUGUUUUCCUCGUUUUUUUUACUGUUUACAGAACAAAAUUAAACAAAAAAAAACAACUUAUUCUCCGUGUUUUUUUUUUCUUCCCGUUCUCAUCUCUUCUCCAGCACAAUCUCAGUCUUGAUUCAAGGUUUGUGAAAUUUAAAUCCAAUGGCACAAUAGCAAAGAGACCCCUAAAACGGAUCCAGAAAACACAGGGAGCAAAAGAACCAUUUUUUUGGUUUUCCUUGGGGUUUUUGCUUGGAUUUUCUCAGAAAUCAAACGAGGAUGAAAUUUCCCGGAAAUCGAAUGGGGGAUGGAUUUUCUUGGUAAUCAAACGGGGGUUGCAAAAAUAAUAAUAAUAAUAAUAAUAACAUGAUUAGAUUAGUACCUGCGAGGAUUGAGAGUGGCAGAGGAAAAUAGGGCCUUUUAGGGAUUCUCUUGGCUGGAGGGCAACUUCAGAAAAGGGCUUUUUGAUGCCCGAGAGAGAGAGAGAAGUGGGUGGCAUUUUGGAUUUAGUAGAGAUAAAAAAAAAAUUUUAAUAAAUCACGAGCACAAUUUUAUCUCAAUUUAAUAGAAUAUGUUAUACCUUUUUAAGAUUAAAUAAAAAAAUAUUAAUAAAAAUAAUUUUAUUAUGUUUGAUUUAUUUUAAAAAAAUAUUUUUAUUUUUAAAUUAAUAAAAUAAAUAAUUUUUUUAAUUUAAAUGAACUAUAUAUCUAAAAAUUAUUUAUAAAUUUAUAAUGUAAAAUUACUUGAAGAAAAUAUUUUAUUAAUUAGAAAAGAAAAAAAAAACAUCUUUCAAACGUGUUUUUUAUUUUAUUUGUUAAAAUUUUUUUUUUAUUAACUCAACCAAACAUGUUUUUUUGUUUUUGAGAACAAAAACUGUUUUUUAAAAUUCAGUUCCCAAACACAAUUUUUUUUAAAAAAACAUCAAAAACUGUUCUUAAAAACUGUUCUCAAAAACUGUUUUCCAGAACAGUUUUCAAAAACAGCAACCAAACAAGCCCUUAGUGUUUCAUUCUUUGUUUUUGUUUUUGUUUUUCAUAUAGUUUUCAACAUGUGACUGCACUUUGUGGAUGCUUGUUUCUUGGUUAUUUUGAUAUUAGAAUGGAGGUUGGUGUUGGAAAAGUUGAUGUGGAACCACCAAGACAGAAAACUAUAUGGAUGGUAUGGGCAUUGGGUGGACUACUCAUUUCUUCUGUGUCUUGCAUGGCACUCAAGUGUGCUUUCUUGUAUAGGAAGAACUUAGACAUGGUAGAGGACUUGUUAGGAGCAUAAAGGAAGUAAGAAGAAACCUUAAGAAUUAUAGCCAUGAAGGUUAAGAGACUUCUAUUACUCGAAUAACUUUGAGACAUAUCCUAGCAAUAAAAAUUAUACAAUAUUUUACAUGUCCAAACCACCUCUUUUGGGUUCUCUUGACCUUCAACAUUCAAGGGAAAAAACAUUUGAGACUUUAAUGCUUUAAAAGUUAAUGUUUUAGAAAUUUAUAUAAGCAUGUUGACAGAUGUAGUUUUUGAUGCAGGUCAUUGAAUGGGUUGUUAACAAAACCCUUAGAAAUAGAAAUUACAAGUUGAUCUGAACUUUCAAAACUAGUUAUUUUUUCACUUCAAAAUUGAAUAUAAGACUUUGUUAAUGGACAAAUUGCAUUUCAAUAUUGCAGGCUCGAUCUAGUGUAGUACCCACUUGUUGGCUACAAGAAUAGCUUUCAGUAUCACUAUAGCUGUUCUAUUUUGCUGGGGUUGUCUCGGACCAUGUGCUGUAAGAGAACAAUAACUUUCUCGAAGCCCUUUCAGAAGCUUAUAAUAAACCUGAAAAGUUCCCAUGGCACAGUAAGGUAAGGAAAUGGGAUUGCACCUGUGACCUAUUUCAUACUCACACUAGCUCCCGCUGAAAUAAAUUUUUUCCUUCUCUACAUAAUUAGACAUUCGAAUCCUUGAUGCCUACAUGGAUGAGUAAGUGGAGAUUUGGAGGUCUCAAAGGUGAAGCAAACACAGGCAGAAUCACUAAUGUGGUGGGAGCAGAACGUGCAAUGCUACAGCUAAUUAUGAAGAGUAAGAAAUGGCAGCAAAGUCCUCUCCUUGGUUACCAAGUUCAUAUAUCAAAUCAACUGGGUGAUCUCACCUCCACACUGGCAGACUUCUUGUUUCACCCAGAAGGUUUCUCUUACUAUUGGUAUCAGAACUGUGUACAUGUCCAGUUCUUCGGUCUCUUAACUGUAAGCAUACGAACAAUGUUUCUCAAUAUCUGUUGUGCUCAAAAGGCAUCUUAUGCAAGUCCUACAAUUUUGCCGCUUACAAAGUGAGUUUCUUCUUCAUGAGGAAUGAGAUAUUUGAAAGUUGUACUGCUUUUACUUGAAUUCAAUGGAAUAAAUAACAUUUUUUUCCCUUCCCCUGCAGCUAAUUGAGAUUGAUACUUUUAUGAAUGGAGAUAAAUAUGCCAAGCUACAGAACUUAAUUUUAAAAGGGGCUCCUGCAGGCUCAUUGCUGAUGUUUUUUCCAGAUAGUCUUGAUCAUGAUUGCAAGGUUCAACAGUUAAAUUCUAGCUUUCAAGGUAGAGGCAAAAUCGGCUUCCAUCUAUGCUGUUGAAAUAAAAAAUAGUGCAGCAAUUUGUUGAAGUGCUUAGAAACUAAAACCAAACAAUCUCUAGGUCAAGGAAUAAUAUGAAAAUAACGUUAAUUGUGCAUAUAUUAUAUAUAGGUAACUAUGUCUAAAUUGUAACAAUGGACUGCCUAAUACUUUGAUGGAUAAGAAAAUGGUAUUCCUGAAUGCGUUCAGAAAAUAUUGGGGGUCAUGAAACAGAAAGCAUUGUACACCUGAAAAAAGAAGGGUACAGUUCUUAUUCUAACUUGCUCAUUGAUUUGAUAUAUAAUUCCUUGGACGUGAUGGUGUAUUUGGUUUUCAGAAUGCAAAAUUUUAAUUUGUGUACAAGGCAGGUAACCUUGGAACUCAUUUCGAUUGAAAUGGACAUCUGAAUGAAUGAUGUUAUCCUCUUUCUAGUUUCAAUCACUACCCUUGUUUUCAGGUUCUUUAUCCAGUUCUCUUGUUUUCAGCACCUCACCUCUCUUGAAAUGCUGGGGAUAGAGCGGUGUAAUAAACUCAAGUCCUUGCCAAAACAAGGGCUACCAUCCUCUCUUUCUUGUCUUUAUAUUACUGAGGAAGCGGUGCCAAAGGUAUAAAAGGAAAGAAUGGCCCAGCAUUUCUCACAUCCCUGCAUUGCGUUCGAAGAUGAGUCAUCUGAUGAAGAGGUCAUCUUGUCAUGAGGCCCUCGCAUCCAAGUUCUUGCUUUUCUCUGCAAUUAUUGAUUCAGGUACUCCUGCUCUUAUUGUGCAAAUUAUUGAUUUGAAAAAAAAUAAUUAAAUGUUGGUUGGAUGUGGUUUUUGCUAUCAAAAUUUGAAUUAAAAAAGUAAACACUCCCUACCAAAAUUAUUAGCUCAGUGCAUAUACUAUAAAUUAUUCCUAGCUAACUUAAAUAAUAUUUCUUGAAAUUUAUUUGUUUCAUUCAUUUGCAUUUUUAUGCAUUUACUAACCAUUUCCCAUUUCCAAGCAAGGUCUAGUGUAAUAAACCUAGUGUGAUGAAUUUCUCAAUCUGCCCUCUUCCACAGGUGACCUACAAAAAGUAGGAAGUACUGCCUUGAAGGUUACAUCAGCUUGCUAAGUUGGUAUAGCAGCAUGAUGAACAUGAGAAAAAUUCAAUUCCUCAUUUAUUUUUUACAAUACCAUAUUCUAAAGAAAAUGUCCAAACCAUACAUAAAUUUUUGUCAUCCCAAAAGCUAAAAUUCAUAGCAACAUUGAAUCGAUUAAUUUUACCAAUAUUUAUUUAUUAACAAAAAUUUAAGUGAUAUUUUAAAACUUAAUUUCAUCAAUUUAACAUACCCAAAAAUAUUAAAUCCACUAAAUUUUGUUCCUACAAUUUUCUCAAUUUGACCAAUUCAUAUUCUAAUUCUGCCAAAGGCCCAUGGAACAAAUUCAAGACUUACCCUUGACCUAAUUUCAACCUUUAACAACCAAUGCUCACUUUUGACUAAAUUUUCUAACUUGUUUGACAAAAAUUUUAAUACUAUAAACUGACGUAGACCCCAAAUUUUAAGACCUUAUCAAUGGGUUUCAAAAUGGGUAGCCUUCUUUUUAAACUAUAAUUUAUUGGCUUAGGCUUUGUUUGGACUUGUCUUUGGUUAUUGGGUUCGAGAUAUAUAUUGCUUUGGUCUUGCUUUGGUUGUGGCCAUGGGCUUGUUUGUUGGGAUAUUGAAUUUUUCGACUUAGGCCUACUGGUGAGCUCUUAGCUUACUGGGCUUUUUAAGUCUUUGUCUUUGGGUUCGGCUUUCAUUUGAUUUAUUUGGACAUGGAAAAUUUAAUGGACUUUCAUUUGAUUUACUUGGACAUGAUUUACAUUCCAAAUGGACUUCACCACAUGGAUCUCACAUCUCUCCAGAGCUUGUGUAUUGAUCAUUGCCCUAAUCUGGUAUCUUUAAUAGCAAGGAGGAUUGCCCACUCCAAAUCUAAGAGAGCUUGUUAUAAUUGACUGCGAGAAACUCAAGUCACUACCCCAAGGGAUGCACACCUUCCUUACAUCCCUUCAUUAUUUGUAUAUAUCUAAUUGUCCAGAAAUUGAUUCAUUUCCAGAAGGAGGUUUGCCCACUAAUCUAUCUGAGCUUGACAUCAGGAAUUGCAACAAACUUGUGGCCUGUCGGAUGGAGUGGGGCUUGCAAAUGCUUCCCUUUCUUAGAAGCUUGUGGAUUGGAGGACUUGGAGUCAUUUCCCGAGGAGCAGUUUCUGCCCUCUACUCUCACCUCUCUUUCAAUUAGGGAUAUUCCAAAUCUGAAAUCCCUGGACAAUAAGGGCCUUAAGCACCUCACCUCUCUUGAAACUUUGAUGAUUAACAACUGUGAAAAGCUCAAGUCCUUGCCAAAACAGGGGCUGCCCUCCUCCCUUUCUCGUCUUUAUAUUUGAGGAUGUCCUCUACUAAAGAAGCGGUGCCAAAAGGAUAAAGGGAAAAAAUGGCCCAACAUUUCUCACAUCCCCUGCAUUGUGAUAGUUAAUGAAAAUGGUUUGUCAAAUGAAGAGGUCAUCUUGUCAUGAGGCCCUUGAAUCCAAGCUCUUGCCUUUCUCUGCAAUUAUUGAUUCAGUACGUACUUUCUGCUUUUAUUUAUGUUUUGUGCAAUCCACACACACCGAGUUUGUGUAUCGUUUAUUAAAUAGGAGCAAAAAGGAAGUAUGAAGAAAAGUUAAGAACUAUGACCAUAGAGGUUAGAUCAGCUUGCUAAGUUGAUACAACAACACAGAGCAACAUACUUCACCUAUUACUGAUCAAAUAACUGAGAGACACAUCCUAGCAAGAAAAAAUUGUAUAAUAUUUUACAUAUUGAAACCACCUUUGCUGGGUUUUCUAGACGUUCAACAUGCAGGGGAAAAAACAAUCAAGACGUUAAUGAUUAAAAAGUCUAAAUUUUAGAAAAUCAUAGAAGAUGUUCUCGAAUGUAGUUUUUGAUGCAGGUUAUCAAAUGGGCUGUCGACAAAACCCUUAGAAAUAGAAAUUAGAGGUUGAUCUGAACUUUCAAAUCUUAGUUAUUUUUUCACUACAAAAUUUAAUAUAAGAUUCGGUUAAUGGACAAAUUGCAUUUCAAUAUUGCAGGCUUAUAGUGUAAAUGCAAACUUGGUAGCUGUCAGAAAAGCUCUCAGUACUACCAUAGCUGUUUUAUUUUGCUGGGGUUUUAUGUCCGACCAUGUGCUGGAAGAGAACAAAAACUUUCUCCAAGCCCUUUCAGAAGCUUAUAAUAAACCUCAAAAGUCCUCAUGCCCAUUA
RNAcentral lists this long non-coding RNA (11222 nucleotides) under Vitis vinifera (wine grape). Its description in RNAcentral is "long non-coding RNA (VVIN_LNC004329)". The record is from RNAcentral. Lineage: Eukaryota; Viridiplantae; Streptophyta; Magnoliopsida; Vitales; Vitaceae.